RNAcentral lists this ribosomal RNA (466 nucleotides) under uncultured bacterium. RNAcentral's name for it is "bacterial SSU rRNA". It matches the Rfam family "Bacterial small subunit ribosomal RNA", at positions 28 to 507 of the family's 1533-position model. The record is from RNAcentral.
GAUGAACGCUGGCGGCGCGCCUAACACAUGCAAGUCGAACGGAGCUUAGAGAGUUUGCUUUUUAAGCUUAGUGGCGGACGGGUGAGUAACGCGUGAGGAACCUGCCUUUCAGAGGGGGACAACAGUUGGAAACGACUGCUAAUACCGCAUGACACAUCGGAGUCGCAUGGCUCUGAUGUCAAAGAUUUAUCGCUGAAAGAUGGCCUCGCGUCUGAUUAGCUAGUUGGUGAGGUAACGGCCCACCAAGGCGACGAUCAGUAGCCGGACUGAGAGGUUGAACGGCCACAUUGGGACUGAGAUACGGCCCAGACUCCUACGGGAGGCAGCAGUGGGGAAUAUUGGGCAAUGGGCGCAAGCCUGACCCAGCAACGCCGCGUGAAGGAAGAAGGCUUUCGGGUUGUAAACUUCUUUUGUCAGGGACGAGUAGAAGACGGUACCUGACGAAUAAGCCACGGCUAACUACGUG